Long non-coding RNA from Salarias fasciatus (jewelled blenny), 626 nucleotides. RefSeq lists it as uncharacterized. The transcript has 3 exons. Lineage: Eukaryota; Metazoa; Chordata; Actinopteri; Blenniiformes; Blenniidae. The record is from RefSeq and is a predicted model, not a curated record.
UGACCACUGAUUGCUUUGGGAGCAGCUGCUGGUGGAGGUCUGAGUUAGGAAACAGGAGUGCUCAUAUAAGACACGCCGUUGAGUGUGUAAGGCAGGAUGGAGUUUACUUUGAAUCCCAGAUAUAAUCUGCCUGGAUUAAGUUACAACAUCUGAGGAGCGCAAGGCGCUGCUUCUCGGGAGUCAGCUAUGUCUUGUGGACUCCUUUUGUGGGUUCCCUGGCUUUGCUUAAUUUCUUUGCUCUUUGGUGGCAGCAAUGGUUCACCUGUGAUAACAGGUUAUGGAUUUCCAGUUAUGGAUAAGUCGAAUCAACUACUCAAUGCAAUGGAAAAUGAAGUUUUUAUCCCUUCGAUUAUCGAUGAGAUAAAAUGGCAUGCUUCAACUACCCAGCCAGCAGGCCAUGUGUAUGAAAAAUACAGUAAACAUACGGUCUUCCCUCUGCUGGAUUUAUCUCGGCAAAAUCAUCUCAGGAGACCAAGUGCUCGUAAAGGAGAGAAGCUUGAAAACGGCGCAUCGAGAUCAUGGGAAGUACAAAACCUUGACAAACUAUUCAAGUCUCCUUUGGGCCUGAAUUCAAAGCUUGACGUUCCAUCAAAGCCCCAGCUUGGGAAGCAUCUCCAAUCACCUUC